AUUAAUGAUUUAGGCUGGGACUGACUUGUGAUUUUUGAACUUUUGGUGUCAGCAGCUUGGGGACGAUCACCAUCCUCUAGCUUCUGUCCUGCUCGACCAACACGGCUACAACCUCCACCCUUGUGUGUCUGUGAAGCAAAGAGCAGUGUGACCUUCAUGGCAUAAGAAGGGUUUCCUGAGGGCAAGUCACCGAGCUGGCAGCUGCGCUGAGGUCUGAACACGGGAUGCUCUGCGGUUCCUUCUCUCUGGUGGCAGCUGAGAAAUGCUGCUGGAGGAGAGGCUACAGCAUGCUUGAACCAUAGAGAAGCCAUGCGAAGGGCUAGGAUGCUGACCACAUGAAUAAGCCCGAGAGGGCUGCAGUAUGGACCACAAACCAUGAGAGAGGCCAGAGCACUGACCCUUUAGCUAGGGCAGUUACGGUGGAAAGCCAAAAAUGGAAAUGAGCAAAAAGCGGCUCUGACAUCUGGCCAUUUAAAUCUUACCUGCUUGAAGUGUU
Molecule: long non-coding RNA, 496 nt
Organism: Alligator mississippiensis (American alligator)
Lineage: Eukaryota; Metazoa; Chordata; Crocodylia; Alligatoridae
Exons: 3
Source: RefSeq, a predicted model, not a curated record